CAAAUACUUACAGCCAACUGAUCCUUGACAAAGCAAAUAAAAAUGUAAAGUGGGGAAAGGACACCCUAUUCAACACAUGAUGCUGGGAUAAUUGGCAAGCCACACGUAGGAGAAUAAAACUGGAUCCUCAUCUCUCACCUUAAACAAAAAUCAACUCAAGAUGGAUCAAGGACUUAAAUCUAAGACCUGAGACUAUAAAAAUUAUUGAAGAUAACAUUGGAAAAACCCUUCUAGACAUUGGCUUAAGCAAAGAUUUCAUGACCAAAAAAACACAUGCAAACAAAACAGAACAAAACAAAACAAAAGCAAAGAUAAAUAGGUGGGACUUAAUUAAACUAAAGAGCUUUUGCACGGCAAAAGGAACAGCCAGCAGAGUAAACAGACAACUCACAGAGCAGGAGGAAAUCUUCACAAUCUAUACAUCUGACAAAACAAACAAAUCAGUAAGAAAAAAAGAAAAUCCCAUCAAAAAGUGGGCUAAGACGCGAAUAAACAAUUCUCAAAAGAAGAUAUACAAAUGGCCAACAAACAUAUGAAAAAAUGCUCCACAUCACUAAUGAUUAAGGAACUGCAAAUCAAAAUCACAAAGUGAUACCACCUUAAUCCCACAAGAAUAGCAAUAAUCAAAAAAUCAAAAAAUAAUAGAUGUUGGAAUGGAUGUGGUGAAAAGGGAACACUUCUACACUGCUGGUGGAAAUGUAAACUAGUACAACAACUAUGGGAAAGAGUGUGGAGAUUCCUUAAAGAACUAAAAACAGAAUUACCAUUUGAUCCAGUAAUCCCAUUAUUGGGUAUUCUACCCAGAGGAAAAGAAGUCAUUAUACGAAAAAGAUACUUGCACACACAUGUUUAUAGCAGCACAGUUCGCAACUGCAAAAAUAUGGAACCAGCGCAAAUGCCCAUCAAUCAAUGAGUGAAUAACUAAACUAUGGUAUAGAUAUAUAUACACCAUA
Molecule: long non-coding RNA, 953 nt
Filed under: Pan troglodytes (chimpanzee)
Lineage: Eukaryota; Metazoa; Chordata; Mammalia; Primates; Hominidae
Description: long non-coding RNA NONPTRT003490
Source: RNAcentral